AUGGGAACGCGAAGAACCUUACCUACUCUUGACAUCCAGAGAACUUUCCAGAGAUGGAUUGGUGCCUUCGGGAACUCUGAGACAGGUGCUGCAUGGCUGUCGUCAGCUCGUGUUGUGAAAUGUUGGGUUAAGUCCCGCAACGAGCGCAACCCGUUAUCCUUUGUUGCCAGCGGUUAGGCCGGGAACUCAAAGGAGACUGCCAGUGAUAAACUGGAGGAAGGUGGGGAUGACGUCAAGUCAUCAUGGCCCUUACGAGUAGGGCUACACACGUGCUACAAUGGCGCAUACAAAGAGAAGCGACCUCGCGAGAGCAAGCGGACCUCAUAAAGUGCGUCGUAGUCCGGAUUGGAGUCUGCAACUCGACUCCAUGAAGUCGGAAUCGCUAGUAAUCGUAGAUCAGAAUGCUACGGUGAAUACGUUCCCGGGUCUUGUACACACCG
Molecule: ribosomal RNA, 440 nt
Filed under: uncultured bacterium
Lineage: Bacteria
Description: bacterial SSU rRNA
Rfam family: Bacterial small subunit ribosomal RNA
Source: RNAcentral